GGAAACCGAGACGGCCUGGAUGGAAAACUCUUUCAAGGAAGACCCCAGGGCCCUGAACGGAAUUCCGGAUAUUUUCUCUAAAACACUUUGAUCCACACAACUAUUCUCUUUCUUGGUCUGAAUUUUGGCAAACGACAAGCAAGGCAUAGAGAUCGCUUCAACUCGCUACCCGCGGCUCGCCCAGACGUUAGGGUUUUAGGCCGCCGUUAGACUUUGGCCCUGCAGGUCAAAAUCAGCUACUCUAGGCCUGUCUUCUCGGAGGCCAGUAGCAGCACCUGGUCCUCUCCGCGCGGCUUCUCCCGCCGGGUACGCAACCCUGCACCUCUUUCCUGUGACCUGCAGCGAAGCUCGGCGGGGGACCGGGUAUUCAACUGGCCAGGAGUUCUCGAGGCGCAGGUAGUUUUGGAGAAAAGCCUGGCCAUUGUGAAGACAUAGACAUCUUUCUUCUCUGUCCUUCCUUUCAAAGACGGCUGUAAGAGAGCUCUUCAUGAGAAAAUGUCCCAGCAGAAGGCUGGGAUGCAUCAGCCCUCAGAGAAGAAGGGACCUGCUGAGAAGGGAGUGAAUGAGCAGAAGCCUCGGGUUGAGGAAGAAUUCUCUGUAUCCUGCAGUGGGCAAGAGACUUCCCACUAUCAGCAUUAAGUCAUUGCUCGUCAGAGUAGCUUUCAGGGCCUGCAGCCAGCCUCCAUACCUUAAUUGUAGGGCUUUCUCUUAAUACCUUCCUGGAAAUUUCUUCAGAGAAAAAUCUAUAAAAGUUUUAUUAGUAAUGAC
This 768-nucleotide long non-coding RNA is filed under the name Homo sapiens (human). Its description in RNAcentral is "novel transcript". The record is from RNAcentral. Lineage: Eukaryota; Metazoa; Chordata; Mammalia; Primates; Hominidae.